Molecule: microRNA precursor, 205 nt
Organism: Oryza sativa Japonica Group (Japanese rice)
Lineage: Eukaryota; Viridiplantae; Streptophyta; Magnoliopsida; Poales; Poaceae
Rfam family: MIR812 microRNA precursor family
Source: Rfam
AAAAAGGCAAACCCUGAAUUUCCAUGCCAAUGUUUGACCGUCCAUCUUAUAUGAAAUGUUUUUAUAUUUAGUAUUUUCAUUGUUGUUAGAUGAUAAAACAUGAUUAAUACUUUAUACGCGACUUAUCUUUUUAAUUUUUUUCAUAAUUUUUUCAAAUAAGACGGACGGUCAAACAUUGGACACGGAAACCAGGGUUUGUCUUUUU